GUCUGCUUGCUGCUAUCUGACUGUAAAUGUUGUCUUCUCCUCUUCUAGCUCUUCCACUAAACUCAUAACACAUAAGAUGUCCGGAUGUGCUGCAGAUCGAGGAGGAGGAUGUGCUGGAGUUCUUUGCAGCAGGAACCAGCCUGUACUUCCAGGUAGAGCAGUGUCUGCAAGAGGAAGACUGACUGUGUCGGAAGUGUGCCAGAGUGAUUUGGCUGGGUUUUCGCUAACACCAUUAGGACUGCUGUCCCAUGACUGGGGUUUGAUAGUGACCUGGGCCACAUUCUUGGUGUGUACAUUAUUAACGUGA
RNAcentral lists this long non-coding RNA (307 nucleotides) under Sander lucioperca (pikeperch). Its description in RNAcentral is "lncRNA (ENSSLUG00000016201.1)". The record is from RNAcentral. Lineage: Eukaryota; Metazoa; Chordata; Actinopteri; Perciformes; Percidae.